UCUGGCAGUUAUGGCGAAGAGGUCACACCCGUUCCCAUUCCGAACACGGAAGUUAAGUUCUUCAGCGCCGAUGGUAGUUGGGGGUCUCCCCCUGUGAGAGUAGGACGUUGCCAGGC
This 116-nucleotide ribosomal RNA is filed under the name Peribacillus muralis. Lineage: Bacteria; Bacillati; Bacillota; Bacilli; Caryophanales; Bacillaceae. The record is from RNAcentral.